This 6301-nucleotide long non-coding RNA is filed under the name Solanum tuberosum (potato). Its description in RNAcentral is "long non-coding RNA (STUB_LNC006077)". The record is from RNAcentral. Lineage: Eukaryota; Viridiplantae; Streptophyta; Magnoliopsida; Solanales; Solanaceae.
UACAGUAUCCCUUUAUUAGUACGUUAUAGCUAAUAAUGUCGGUCUCAAUGCCCUUAUCUAUCAUGAUACUAAAAAUUCUCCUUGCUCUAUCUAGUUGACCACGCAAACAAUAUCCAUCCAUCAAUGCAUUGUAGGUGAUUGUAUUAGGCUCUACACCCUUUUCGACCAUGUGUUUCAUUACUUCCUCAGCAUCUUUGACUUUCCCUUCUUUGCAUAGUCCAUCUGUUAUUAUGUUUAAGGUAUGCACAUCUGGAUAAAUAUUAAGGUUCACCAUCUCAUAGAACAAACUCGUAACCUUUUCCCACUGACCAAACUUACACAAACCAUCAAUUAUUGAAUUAUAUGUGACUAUGUCUGGAGGAAUGUCUUUCUGCUUCAUCUCGUUCAGAAUAUUGAUAGCAGCAUCUAAGUUUCCAUCUUUGCAAAGAGCAUCUAUAACAAUGCUGUAGAUAUAUAUGGUGGGCUCAGUAUUACCUUGUUCCAUUAACCGGAGCAAACUUAAAGUCUUCUGAGUAUGACCCCUUUUGCUUAGCCCAUUCAUGACGAUUGCAUACAUGACUUCGUCAGGCUCACAAAUCUUGUCUCUCACCAACUUCUUGAACAAUUCAACUGCAUCUUUGACCUUAUUUUGAGCAAAGAUUCCUUUUAAUAGGGUGUUAAAGGUAACAGUAUUAAAUGGAAUGCCAUUCUUCAAGUAAAUGGGUAACACCGAAAAUGCACAAUCAACCCGAUACAUCAGGCAAUAACUAUUAAUCAUGAUAUUUAAGAUGAAAUCACUAAUUGGGAUGCCCAAUUUCAGCAUUUGUCGAAAAAGAGAAAGGGCACCAGAGUAAUGUUUCAUCUUUAUCAUAGUCUUAAACAAUUGAGAGAAAUGGACAACUGAAGGAAGAGGCUUCAUUGUAACCAUUUGAUGGAAGAGAGUAACAGCAUCAUCUAAAUUGCUACUAUUUACACCAAAUUUAUCCAUUACUGAAAUGGAUUUUUUACUGUAACGGCAUGAAGAAUAAGCUCUAAUUGUAAAUGCCGAACCAGAAAUGGAAGAGAUAAAGGGAAUACCAUUGCAAUUGCGCAGAGAAAUCCUCCUCAUCUUCUUCAAUGGCUGUAUCUCCGUGUGCCCUAAUUUUGCAAGAAACUAAUACAUUCAGCUUCUUUGGAUUUUUUUUUUGUUUGCCAUUCGCUCAUUCCCAUCCCUAAUAUUAGAGCACGACUAAAUUUAAAUUUACCUCGAAAAAUCUUAGCAACCAUCCAAAAAAAGGCAAGUGUCGUUACGCUGUUAAUUUAUUUUUUUUCAUUUUAUUUUUGAAUUAUUAUUUAAUAAUCUUAUUGUAUACUGUUAUUUUUUUUUAAAAAAAAUAUUGUGUACCCUAUGUUUAUUUAUAGUGUUAUAAAUUUAUUCUUUAUAUUAUUGAUGUGUGAUAUUAUGUAACAACAUAAUCGAUACAUUUCAUUCAAAUAUUAUAUUAACUAAAACAAUACAAUAUAUUAUGUAACAAUAUAUAAUAAUCAUCAAAACAAUCUGCAAUUAAUACACUAUGAAAGGUUGUUUGCUUGCUCGUUAAGAAGUAAGUUAUUUAUGUAUUAAAAUUAAUAUUAUAACUAAUAACAUGCUUAAGAUUAGUAUUUUAGUUGCUAUGCAUAAAAUUAAAUACGUUAAUUGAUUACCAUUUUACAAUCUCACAAAUUAUUAUAAAUGUAUAAACUAGGUGAGAUCUAUUUAGUCCCCCCUUGUCCCCCUAUUUACUUGUCAAUUUUUGACUUGACACACCUAUUAAGAAAAUAAUAAUUGACAUAAUGAGUUUACUAUUUUAUUCUUAUUAAUUGAUAGAAUUUCAAAAUCAAGUUACUCAUUAAAGGGGUUCUACCUUUUUCAAAAACAUUAACUCUCUAAAUAAAUUGAGCGUAUAAUAAAUUAAAAAAAAUAUUAUCUUUUCUUAAUUUGUCAAAAAUGACAAGUAGAAAGGGACAAAUAAAGAAUCAAAAUUGAACAAGUAAGAACGUUACAUAGGAGAAAAAUAAAAUGAAGUAUACUACAUGAAUAAUUAAGUCUUCAUCUAGGUGAAUAACUCUAACUAGCGAAAAAACAACCCCUUAAAGGGUAAUUUGUUAUGUAUAAAAUAACUCUUACUUAAAAUAUACAUUUUAAUUAUUUGGAUUUGAACAUGAGAUCUUAUGAUUCUCAAUCCACUUUAUCGAUCAAUUAUACCACCCCCUUGAUAAGUCAUAUUUUUGGAAAACACAACUUUUUUUUUGACCUAACAGAGAAGGCAUGAUUAUAGAUGUUGAAGGAUAUUCAGAAAAUGUGUCUUAUUUCAUGAAACAUGCAUUUAUCUCAGUUAGUUAGAACUCAACUUAAAAUUAAAUUCAAAUGAUUCUAAAGACUAACUUCAUAAACUAAACUUAGAAGGAAAUAUAUGUGUUACUCAAAUCUUAAAGUGUUUACAAGAUUGAAUAUUUCAUAGACAACUAAAAACAUACUCCCUCCGUCCCUAUUUACUUGUCCAUAUUUCCUUUUUUGGUUGUCCCUAUUUAGUUGUCCAUUUUGACAAAUCAAGAAAGGACAACAAAUUUUUUCCUAUUAUACCCUUAUUUACACUUCUUGAAAAUUGUAAAAGUGUAUGUUGUUUCCCUCCAAUUUAUUUCACUUGAAUUCAAAUAAGUGGUUGUAAUUUUGAAGUGAAAAGUUGUCAUAGGGUAAAAUUGUAACUUCACUGUGCUAAUCAUUGUUGCCUUAAUCUGUGUGCCAUUUCUAAAAUGGACAACUAAAAAGGGAUGGAGAGAGUAUCUGAUAGUCAAAGAUGCGUAGUACAUGUGUUGUUGGUGGGAGGUAGCAUGUACUUGCUGAAUAGUUGAAGGUACACACAAGUGGGUCAGAACAGUACCGUCAUUAAAAAAAAAUUAAUGACAACUAUGAUAAAGCUAACACAUGGAGAUAUGAUCAUGUAACAAUUUCAACAUUACAUUUGCGUCCACGCAACCAAAGUUCUCAUAACAGAAGCAACAUUAUUACACCCCAGACUAAUAAGUGCAUUAGAAAGAUUAGUUACCAUACCUAAAGAAUUGGUAAGUGUGCAUUUAAGUACAACAACAAAACAAAUAAGUCUCAAUCCCAAAUCCCUGGAUUUUCACUAAUCACAUCAUACAAUAAAAGCACAUGGAUAAUGUAAAACCCAAAAUCUUGGGUUGUAAAACAUAAACUUUAUAUUUAUUGAUAACCGUGGUGUCUAGGCCAACUACAAGUGACUAGUUGCACCAGUUGAUAAGGAUGCUCCAGAAACAAUGUCAGCUUGAUAAAUAUACUUCCUCUUUUCGAAUAGGAAUUGAUUUGAUCUUAUUAUUAGAAUAUUCAGAUUCAAUAGAAAAUACUGUUUUCAAGAAGGAAUCACCAUCACCAGUGGAAGUUGAACCUGGCGAUCUCUAUCUCCUCAAGUAUGGAAAAAGGAAGAAAAAGCAGCCAAACACAGGGAAGGAAAUAGAGAAGGUAAGGGACCACUUUCCUUGUUCAAGCUGGUAUUUAAUGAGUAAGUAGUAAGUAAGUGAGAAGUCGAUUCUUUUAUCGUUGAGAAAACAGAUCACUUGCUAAGAUGCUUUCAAUUUUACUUGUGCUUAUAUAUCAAAACCUAAUCCCUGUUCAAACUACCUCAUCUGUUCUCUAACUGUGAGUCCAAAGCCAAACUUGUAGUCUUCUUUUUUGAUUGACCUGAACAAGCGAUAAAGAACACAUUUAGGACAAUAAUGAAAGUUAUACAGCCAAACUGUGAGAGAUUGAUUGUAUUCGAAUUAGUAAAAGCAAGAAGGAAAAUAAUAGAUAGAGGGGUGUGCCCCUUAUCUACCAAGUUUUUAUCCAUGCGCCUCUCAGAAAAAAGGUGGGAGGAAAUCAAGAAGCUUUUCAUAUUUCGGCAUCAUUGAGGGACGGAGUAACAUCCUCAACCCAAAAUUAAAGUCAUUGGGAACAUGUAUUCUGUGAAGGAGCCACGACAAGAUAGAGAAGUCAAGAUGCAACCUACCUUGGCUGAUAAAAUGAAAUUAAGACCCACGUUCAAGCGCUCUUCCAAGAAACCAGCAACACAUCCAUCUUCCUUCUGAGACAACAUUGUAAUGAAUGCAUCAUAUUGAAACACUAUGUUAAAUUCAUGAUAACCAUGGUUGAUUAGAAGUCCUAAUGUUGUUGCAAUGAAGCCACAAAAGCAAGAUCAACUAAACGAGUUCUCAAAACUAUUGCAUAACGCAUAAUAGCAGCCCACAAAAAGUGUCUAUAUGACUAUUGUGCACCAAAGGGUGUGGCCUAGGAGUCAAUGAAGUGGAUUAAGAACCAUGUGGUCUCGAAUCAAAUCCCAGUGAAGGCAAAAAAGAUAGUUGAUCUCUUUCCAUCUAUAUAACCCUUGGUGGACAAAAUUACAGGUACCAUUGUUGGUGGGAGAUAGUAGGUACACCGUGAAAUUAGUAUAGGUGUGUGUUAGUUGGCCCGAACACCAUUGAAAUCCAAUACAAUAAAACAAAAGUUUUUAAUGUCUACAAUGAAAGUCAAGAGAAUUACUUUAGUUAUAUGCUAGUGCGAACUAGAUUCAUUUAAUAUAUUCAGGUUAAUAGCACAAAUUUCCAUAGUUCGAUCAUAAUUAGGGGUUGGCAUGGUAUGGUAGAUACCAAAACUGAAAUUUUUGACACCACACUUCCAAUAUUAUGAUAUUUGGCAUGCCUAUUUAAAAUUUUUGGUAUUCGACAUUUAUAACAAGAAUACUCAGUGCAACUUUUCCACUAUUACCCUUUUGAUUAUUUUCAAACUAGUCUCCUAGAAAAUGUUAAAAAGUUAAGAAUCUCAUUAAAUGAAGAGUAACUAUGGAAAAGAGUUCCAACAAUUUUCGUGAACUUUGAAUAAUUCGCUUACUUUGAACUACGAAAAAAGUCUCAAUAAUUCACUUAAUUUGGACUACACGGAGUAAUGUGACACAUAAGGGAACUUACCACUAUUCCUUUUUUAAGAAUAUCAGUAUGGUCACCAUUUUUUCUCAUAUUAAGAGUGCAAUGACAUUUGAUUUCUAAGAAAAAGAAGAAUGGUAAGAAAAACUCAAACCAAAUUGAUGUACCUCCUCAUUAGGUUGUGUUGAAAGCUCAAACAAUGUUCUAAUUGCCAUCAACUUUAGCAAAUGCAUAGGCUGUCAUUUCUUUUGCAGGGAUAAAAGGAAAUUGUAUGACAGCGAUAGCGUAGCCGAAUAAACCAAACAAAAUAUCACUUCUUAUUUUUUGAGUGAAGCUCUGGUAUCAUGUCAAGGACAGAAGGAUUCUCCCUUACAACAUCUAUCAAAAAACCAGUUGUAGUUGCAUCAAAUGAGAAGCCCCUUCCAUCCAUUUCCUUCAUAAAAGAUGCCAUUUCACUAAUUUUGUUGCACCUGAGAAAUCCUUUCACAAUAACAUUAUAAGUGACAUUGUUUGGAGAACAACCGUUGUCUUCCAUUUUUCUUAGAAUAUAUUUAGCUUCAUCAAACAACCCUUCAAGACAAAAUCCAUUAAUCAUUAUAGUGUAUGUUAUCACAUCCGGGAGUAAUCCAAUGAAAGAAAGCUUCUUGAAAACAGCAUGCGCUUCGUGGAGUUUACCAUUUUUGCACAAUCCGUUAAUGACAACACUAUAAAAUGCAAUAUUAGUAUACUCUUUGUUUCUUUCUAACUUAUUAAAGAGUGCCAUAGCUUCUUCAACAAGUCCGUACUUAUAAUAACCAUUGAGCAAAGUGACAUGACUGUAUAUAUCAGGCUUGGUCCCUGCAGAUAGCAUCUCAGCGUAAAUUUGCUUUGCAUCACCAGUUCUUCCAACUUCAGAAAGACCUUGCAAGAUCGUAUUGUAGGUCAAAUUAUUGGGUUUUGAUCCCUUUUGAGAAAUUUCACAAAACAAUUGCAUGGCCUCAUCCACUUUCUUUUUCUUACAGUAUCCCUUUAUUAGUAUGUUAUAGCUAAUAAUGUCGGUCUCAAUGCCCUUAUCUAUCAUGAUACUAAAAAUUCUCCUUGCUCUAUCUAGUUGACCACGCAAACAAUAUCCAUCCAUCAAUGCAUUGUAGGUGAUUGUAUUAGGCUCUACACCCCUUUUUCGACCCAUGUGUUUCAUUACUUCCUCAGCAUCUUUGACUUUCCCUGCUUUGCAUAGUCCAUCUGUUAUUAUGUUGAAGGUAUGCACAUCUGGAUACAUAUUAAGGUUCACCAUCUCUGAGAACAAAGUUUAACCUUUUCCCACUGACCGAGCUUACACAAACCAUCAAUUAUUGAAUUAUAUGUGACUAUGUUUGGAAGAACGUCUUUCUGCUUCAUCUCGUUCAGA